AUUGAACGCUGGCGGCAUGCUUUACACAUGCAAGUCGAACGGUAACAGGCCUUCGGGUGCUGACGAGUGGCGAACGGGUGAGUAAUGCAUCGGAACGUACCCAGAGGUGGGGGAUAACGCAGCGAAAGCUGUGCUAAUACCGCAUGUGAUCUGAGGAUGAAAGCGGGGGACCGAGCAGCAAUGUUUGGCCUCGCGCCUUUGGAGCGGCCGAUGUCGGAUUAGCUAGUUGGGGGGGUAAAGGCCUACCAAGGCGACGAUCCGUAGCUGGUCUGAGAGGACGACCAGCCACACUGGGACGGAGACAGGGCCCAGACUCCUACGGGAGGCAGCAGUGGGGAAUUUUGGACAAUGGGCGCAAGCCUGAUCCAGCAAUGCCGCGUGCGGGAAGAAGGCCUUCGGGUUGUAAACCGCUUUUGGCAGGAACGAAACGGUGUCCGCUAAUACCGGGCGCUAAUGACGGUACCUGCAGAAUAAGCACCGGCUAACUACGUG
RNAcentral lists this ribosomal RNA (492 nucleotides) under uncultured bacterium. Its description in RNAcentral is "partial 16S ribosomal RNA". It matches the Rfam family "Bacterial small subunit ribosomal RNA", at positions 29 to 507 of the family's 1533-position model. The record is from RNAcentral.